AUGAACGCUGGCGGCGUGCUUAACACCUGCAGGUCGAACGGAAAGGCUCCUGCUUGCAGGGGUACUCGAGUGGCGAACGGGUGAGUAACACGUGGGUGAUCUGCCCUGCACUUCGGGAUAAGCCUGGGAAACUGGGUCUAAUACCGGAUAGGACGAUGGUUUGGAUGCCAUUGUGGAAAGUUUUUUCGGUGUGGGAUGAGCUCGCGGCCUAUCAGCUUGUUGGUGGGGUAAUGGCCUACCAAGGCGUCGACGGGUAGCCGGCCUGAGAGGGUGUACGGCCACAUUGGGACUGAGAUACGGCCCAGACUCCUACGGGAGGCAGCAGUGGGGAAUAUUGCACAAUGGGCGCAAGCCUGAUGCAGCGACGCCGCGUGGGGGAUGACGGCCUUCGGGUUGUAAACUCCUUUCGCUAGGGACGAAGCGCAAGUGACGGUACCUGGAGAAGAAGCACCGGCUAACUACGUG
RNAcentral lists this ribosomal RNA (465 nucleotides) under uncultured bacterium. RNAcentral describes it as "partial 16S ribosomal RNA". It matches the Rfam family "Bacterial small subunit ribosomal RNA", at positions 29 to 507 of the family's 1533-position model. The record is from RNAcentral.